CAGAGGAUAGGUUAAAUAAAAUAAUAAUUUUGGGAAUUAUUGAUAAAGAAAUUUCUUUUCCUUUGA
RNAcentral lists this transfer RNA (66 nucleotides) under Chauliodes pectinicornis (summer fishfly). Its description in RNAcentral is "tRNA-Pro". The record is from RNAcentral. Lineage: Eukaryota; Metazoa; Arthropoda; Insecta; Megaloptera; Corydalidae.